AUUCCUACGGGAGGCAGCAGUGGGGAAUAUUGCACAAUGGGCGCAAGCCUGAUGCAGCAACGCCGCGUGAGGGAUGACGGCCUUCGGGUUGUAAACCUCUUUUAGCAGGGAAGAAGCGAAAGUGACGGUACCUGCAGAAAAAGCGCCGGCUAACUACGUGCCAGCAGCCGCGGUAAUAA
Molecule: ribosomal RNA, 179 nt
Filed under: uncultured bacterium
Lineage: Bacteria
Description: partial 16S ribosomal RNA
Rfam family: Bacterial small subunit ribosomal RNA
Source: RNAcentral